GCCGGACAGGACUGAGAGGGCCUGGAGAGAAGAGAAAGACAGGCCUGAAGCUGCUCCACAUGAGCAGCCAACUCCAUCCCUGCCCAGACAAUGAGAUGAUUGGGCUGAAUCUUUGGAAUAACAUUCACCUGGAAAGAAGACAGGAAUUCUCAUUUAUCAUCAGGAGAUGAUCACUAGGCCUUUAGGCAUGGACACCUAGAAACGUCACUCCGAUUAGGUUCUUCCCCUUCGACGGGCUUUCUUUCCUUUUGAGGCCACCAGUCAGAUGCCCAUGGGAUGCAGCCAUCUGGGUCCUAUAUAAGAAGAC
Callorhinus ursinus (northern fur seal) is the source of this 307-nucleotide non-coding RNA. NCBI's taxonomy places the organism in Eukaryota, Metazoa, Chordata, Mammalia, Carnivora, Otariidae. The record is from RefSeq and is a predicted model, not a curated record.